RNAcentral lists this ribosomal RNA (468 nucleotides) under uncultured bacterium. RNAcentral describes it as "partial 16S ribosomal RNA". It matches the Rfam family "Bacterial small subunit ribosomal RNA", at positions 28 to 507 of the family's 1533-position model. The record is from RNAcentral.
GACGAACGCUGGCGGCGUGCUUAACACAUGCAAGUCGAACGGAAAGACCCUGCUUUUGUGGGGUGCUCGAGUGGCGAACAGGUGAGUAACACGCGAGUAUCCUGCCCUUGACUUUGGGAUAACUUCAGGAAAAUGGGGCUAAUACCGGAUAGGAGCUCCUGAUGCAUGGGGGGCGUUGGAAAGUGUCGGCGGUUGGGGAUCGAAUAGCGGCUUAUGAGCUUGUUUGUGGGGUAGGGGCUUACCAAGGCUAUGACGGGUAGCCGGCCUGGGAGGGUGACCGGCCACAUUGCGCCUGAGAUACGGCCCAGUCUCCUACGGUCGGCAGCAGUGGGGAAUCUUGCACAAUGGGCGGAAGCCUGUUGCAGCGACGCCGCGUGCGUAAUGACGGCCUUCGGGUUGUAAACAGCUGUCGCAUGUGACGAAGCCUGAGUGACGGUAACGGGUAAAGAAGCACCGGCUAACUACGUG